RNAcentral lists this unclassified non-coding RNA (407 nucleotides) under fungal sp. Its description in RNAcentral is "partial internal transcribed spacer region". The stretch from base 1 to 46 matches the Rfam family "Eukaryotic small subunit ribosomal RNA", at positions 1786 to 1831 of the family's 1831-position model. The record is from RNAcentral. Lineage: Eukaryota; Fungi.
AAGUCGUAACAAGGUUUCCGUAGGUGAACCUGCGGAAGGAUCAUUAACACAAUACUUUCUAUAUCAACCUUGGAGCAUCCGUCUGAGCCUUCGCUUGUGGGAGUGUCGUCUAGUCAAUGGUUGGAUUUUCGUUUUCGGACGAAUUCUCGGACUAGCCUGCUUAAGUUAGCCAGUUUCACUGUGAGAAAAAUCAUUCGUGGUUUCCUUACUUUGGGAUGAUGGUUAGCGCUCUACUCGGGAGGUAUACAGUCUCUACCAUGGCUGGCCCUUUUUUUUUUUAAACCUUUUGACAUUUGUACUGAUUUGGGCUUUUGAAUUGAGAGGAGCAAUCCUUUCUUCAAGCUUUUGAUGGAGUAAUCCAUUAAUUAACCAAAACACAACUCUUAACAGUGGAUAUCUCGGUUCUC